Molecule: ribosomal RNA, 157 nt
Filed under: Monilinia laxa
Lineage: Eukaryota; Fungi; Ascomycota; Leotiomycetes; Helotiales; Sclerotiniaceae
Description: 5.8S ribosomal RNA
Rfam family: 5.8S ribosomal RNA (bases 33-157)
About the family: 5.8S ribosomal RNA (5.8S rRNA) is a component of the large subunit of the eukaryotic ribosome. It is transcribed by RNA polymerase I as part of the 45S precursor that also contains 18S and 28S rRNA. Functionally, it is thought that 5.8S rRNA may be involved in ribosome translocation.
Source: RNAcentral
UUAAUGUCGUCUGAGUACUAUAUAAUAGUUAAAACUUUCAACAACGGAUCUCUUGGUUCUGGCAUCGAUGAAGAACGCAGCGAAAUGCGAUAAGUAAUGUGAAUUGCAGAAUUCAGUGAAUCAUCGAAUCUUUGAACGCACAUUGCGCCCCUUGGUA